AUUGAACGCUGGCGGCAUGCCUUACACAUGCAAGUCGAACGGCAGCACGGGAGCAAUCCUGGUGGCGAGUGGCGAACGGGUGAGUAAUAUAUCGGAACGUGCCCAGUCGUGGGGAGUAACGCAGCGAAGACUGUGCUAAUAACCGCCAUACGAUCUCUGGAGUGAAGACGGGGACGUCGCAAGAGCCUCGCGCGAUUGGAGCGGCCGAUAUCAGAUUAGCUAGUUGGUGGGGUAAAAGGACCCACCAAGGCGACGAUCUGUAGCUGGUCUGAGAGGACGACCAGCCACACUGGAACUGAGACACGGUCCAGACUCCUACGGGAGGCUG
Molecule: ribosomal RNA, 328 nt
Filed under: uncultured Pseudomonadota bacterium
Lineage: Bacteria; Pseudomonadati; Pseudomonadota
Description: bacterial SSU rRNA
Rfam family: Bacterial small subunit ribosomal RNA
Source: RNAcentral